UGGCCCGUAGUGUAAUUGGUAACACAACAGAUUCUGGAUCUGUUUUUCUUGGUUCGAGUCCAAGAGGGCCAGCCA
RNAcentral lists this transfer RNA (75 nucleotides) under Planctomycetota bacterium. RNAcentral's name for it is "tRNA-Gln". It matches the Rfam family "tRNA". Rfam says of the family: Transfer RNA (tRNA) molecules are approximately 80 nucleotides in length. Their secondary structure includes four short double-helical elements and three loops (D, anti-codon, and T loops). The record is from RNAcentral. Lineage: Bacteria; Pseudomonadati; Planctomycetota.